CUCCUACGGGAGGCAGCAGUGAGGAAUAUUGGUCAAUGGGCGAGAGCCUGAACCAGCCAAGUAGCGUGCAGGAAGACGGCCCUAUGGGUUGUAAACUGCUUUUAUAAGGGAAUAAAGUGAGUCUCG
RNAcentral lists this ribosomal RNA (126 nucleotides) under uncultured bacterium. RNAcentral's name for it is "partial 16S ribosomal RNA". It matches the Rfam family "Bacterial small subunit ribosomal RNA", at positions 336 to 460 of the family's 1533-position model. The record is from RNAcentral.